Molecule: ribosomal RNA, 1315 nt
Filed under: metagenome
Description: bacterial LSU rRNA
Rfam family: Bacterial large subunit ribosomal RNA
Source: RNAcentral
GUCACACUGCCAAGAAAAGCUUCUAGUUAGAAUCAGACCGCCCGUACCGCAAACCGACACAGGUAGUCGGGUCGAGAAGACCAAGGUGAGCGAGAGAACUCUCGUUAAGGAACUCGGCAAAAUGACCCCGUAACUUCGGGAGAAGGGGUGCUGAUCGCAAGAUCAGCCGCAGUGAAUAGGCCCAGGCGACUGUUUAUCAAAAACACAGGUUUCUGCAAAAUCGUAAGAUGAAGUAUAGGGGCUGACGCCUGCCCGGUGCUGGAAGGUUAAGAGGAUGGGUUAGCGCAAGCGAAGCUCAGAAUUGAAGCCCCAGUAAACGGCGGCCGUAACAAUAACGGUCCUAAGGUAGCGAAAUUCCUUGUCGGGUAAGUUCCGACCCGCACGAAAGGCGUAACGAUCUGGGCACUGUCUCAACGAGAGACUCGGUGAAAUUAUAAUACCCGUGAAGAUGCGGGUUACCCGCGACAGGACGGAAAGACCCCAUGGAGCUUUACUGUAGCUUGAUAUUGGGUGUUUGUACAACUUGUACAGGAUAGGUAGGAGCCGUAGAAGUCGGGACGCUAGUUUCGACGGAGGCAUCGGUGGGAUACUACCCUCGUUGUAUGAACACUCUAACCCACGCCGGCAAUCACGGCGGGAGACAGUGUCAGGUGGGCAGUUUGACUGGGGCGGUCGCCUCCUAAAAGGUAACGGAGGCGCCCAAAGGUUCCCUCAGAAUGGUUGGAAAUCAUUCGCAGAGUGUAAAGGCAUAAGGGAGCUUGACUGCGAGACCUACAAGUCGAGCAGGGACGAAAGUCGGGCUUAGUGAUCCGGUGGUUCCGCAUGGAAGGGCCAUCGCUCAACGGAUAAAAGCUACCCUGGGGAUAACAGGCUUAUCUCCCCCAAGAGUCCACAUCGACGGGGAGGUUUGGCACCUCGAUGUCGGCUCAUCGCAUCCUGGGGCUGUAGUCGGUCCCAAGGGUUGGGCUGUUCGCCCAUUAAAGCGGUACGCGAGCUGGGUUCAGAACGUCGUGAGACAGUUCGGUCCCUAUCCGUCGCGGGCGCAGGAAAUUUGAGAGGAUCUGUCCUUAGUACGAGAGGACCGGGAUGGACAUACCGCUGGUGUACCAGUUGUUCUGCCAAGGGCAUCGCUGGGUAGCUAUGUAUGGAUGAGAUAAACGCUGAAAGCAUCUAAGUGCGAAACUCACCUCGAGAUAAGAUUUCCCACUCCUUUAUGGAGUUAAGACCCCUGAGAGAUGAUCAGGUAGAUAGGAUGGAAGUGGAAGUGCGGCGACGCAUGGAGCAGACCAUUACUAAUCGGUCGAGGACUUAACCA